UGGGUUGGUGUUUUGCAUAGAGACAUUGUGUGGCUAAACUGCAGCUGCUAUAAAAGUGCCAGUGUCCCUGUGCCAUAUUAAUGAUCUGUAUGUGUCACAGUGCAUAGAUAGAGACAUGUCUUAUCCCACUUAUCUACUGCUGCUGCUGGGGAUCCUCCUGAUCUUUAGCCAAGGUUCCUAUGGGCAGAUUGUACUGACUCAGUCUCCAGAUUAUGUCUCUGUGUCACCAGGAGAAACUGUCACCAUCACAUGUAAAGCCAGUAGCAGUGUUGGCAAUGUGUUAGCCUGGUACCAACAGAAAUCAGGGCAGGCACCAAAGCUGCUGAUCUAUUUGGCAAGUACCCGACACACAGGGACCCCAGAGAGGUUCAGCGGCAGUGGAUAUGGAACUGAUUUCACUCUUACAAUCAGCAGAAUGGAAGCAGAAGAUGCAGCAGAUUAUUACUGUCAGCAGAGUAACAGUGGGUUACACAGUGAUACAGAGCUGAACAAAAACCUUCCUCUUUCAGCUUGAAUGCAGAUCAGACUAAAACAUGACUCAGGACUCACUGUACCAGAAGAUUGUUGACUUCAUACUCUGUACUUUAUAUAACCCAUACACACUAAGAUGCAACUGAAUUAUCAGGAAUACUUUACAUAGCAUGUGUGUAUUUCAAUUCAUAAAAAAGAAAACUAAAAGGGGGGGGAGAAAAAAAGAAAACAAGGUGCAUGAAAAAUCCAGUAUUAAAGGUGCAGUAUUCCCCUUAUUGAACAUAAGUUAAAUGAAUAGGGAUUGUGCUGUAUAUAGAAUACUAUUUACAUAUUAGUUUAAAUUAUGAAAUAUAGUUUUCUUUUUGUUAUUUUAUAACUAAACAAAUUUGCGAUUAAAGUGAAAGUCACAUUCUAAUUUCUUUUCAUCUGAGGCUAACAUCAAACAAAUCAGACUUUCACUGAGAAGCGUCUGUAUGAACAAACCCCUCCCUUCCCAGCUACAGAUCGUUAGGCUGUAAGAUAAGGAGUAGCUCUUUAUACAGAGGGGUGACAGGGUGAGGCAUAUGAACCCUCUGGCCCCCUAAUUUCCACAUCAUUCAGAUUUGCAAGAUAGUAUCAGCAGGUACAAACAUACACACCAGCGUUUAUUUCUAUUGGCAGCCACGAUGAGUAGGAGAAGCUGCGAGCAGGAAAAAUGUCAGGCAAUAAUGAUGAGAUACGAGAAACAAAUGAUAAAAAAGCAGAAUUUUUUUAAUGUCAAUACAGCAAAUUUACUCUAAACACACAGGAUUUUUUAUUUUUGACUCAAUAACCCUUUAAUAUUUGUGCAAUAGUAUAUGGAGAGCGGGUGUAUGUUAUAUUGUUUACCUUGACUCUUUUCUCUUAAAGGGGUGGUUCACCUUUAAGGUAACCCUUAUUAUGUUUAAUGUCUAA
Non-coding RNA from Xenopus laevis (African clawed frog), 1404 nucleotides. The record is from the annotation of a RefSeq genome assembly. NCBI's taxonomy places the organism in Eukaryota, Metazoa, Chordata, Amphibia, Anura, Pipidae.